This 5663-nucleotide long non-coding RNA is filed under the name Equus asinus (donkey). RNAcentral describes it as "lncRNA (ENSEASG00005029632.1)". Lineage: Eukaryota; Metazoa; Chordata; Mammalia; Perissodactyla; Equidae. The record is from RNAcentral.
CAGUCAUUGUCUUAAUUAACUCAGGGAGUUUUUGGUUAUAGCUCCAAAACCUGAGUCUUCCGGCUUCAUGUUGCCCUAACCAGCAGUGUGACCUUCAGUGGGCCACUUAACCAGUUUAGGCCUCAAGGUUGGGAGUGAUGGGUGUGGAGGGGCAGGUUUACCCCUUCAAGGUUUUAUGUUCAAUGCAUCUGUUAUUCAAGUUUAUGGACAGGUUUCAACAGAGAAGCUUAGCAGCUUUUCUAUUAUUAAGACGUGGAUAUUUUUACUCAAGAGCACUCAACUUUUUUUGCAGUGUGUUAAUAUUGUAGAACACUUUGAAACCCAGCAUAGAAAAUGAAUGCACUGUCAAGGCUCACAUACAGUCUUUCAACUAUUUUGUUUGGGCUUUUAGUAUUUUUUUUUUAAUUUUGUAGUAAAAAAUUGCAGUUAAGACAUUCAAAUAUAUAUUUUUGAUUGAAAAGAAACUUACGCCAAUUAGCAUUUAUUUCAGUGAGGCAUGGAUCUCUAAAACGUGCGAUUUACACAUCUUCCCAUUGAUAUAGGCAUUAUUGUCUUGGAUACGUGGGAAUGUCUUUCAAGCUGUGAUUUCUCCUCUAUUUACACUAUCUUUUGUCGGGGGAAAUAGACUCAACAGUGUUUAGAUUAUCUCUGGACAUUUAAAAUUUCUCGCAAAGCCUACGUGUAAUGGUUGGCAUCUCAGAGAAUAAACAGGAAAUUAGCAAGGCAGAGGCUUUCCUUCAUCUUUUGCCAGGGCUGGACUCCUUGCUUCAUUUAUUUUCCUAGGACACCAGAAAUCUGAGAAUGGUAUUUAAGCUGACCGCGUUUCUUUUAUAGCUGGUCUGCAUGUGGUAAUCUACAGAUUGCCAGAUCUUUCUACUUUUCUCCAAAUUAGUAUAUUGGCAUUUGAAGGACCACGUUUACUUUUCAUCAAUGAAUGGUUUAAAGUUGAGCAGUGUGGCACUUCCAUCAUCCUAAAACAUUGCGUUUUUUUUCCCCCAAAUGAUGAAAGUAAUCCAUGUGUGUUGUAGAAAAUUUGGAAAAUUAUUGUAAUCUGAAAUCCCACAACCCACAGAUCACCACUUUUGGCAUUUUAGGGUCAUUCUCUGUGGAUCUACCGGUAUUCAUCAAGUAAUCAGUCAUUUUAUGUUAAACAAACUGUUUCCAAGGGGCGGCUAGUAUGUGUUCUGAAAAAAACAAACAAAGCUUUCCAUGGUCACAUAUGUUUGGUAAAUGCUAGGUUGAGUAAUGGUGGACUUAGCUUUGUGACAGACACCCUGCUCAGGGCUGGACCUCCUGAGGACUCUCCUUCAUGUGGGAGGAACGUUGCUCGCAGUCCUGGAAACAGUGGACACUGACCCGCUUUGGCAUCACACUGCCUAACAUUCCACAGGAGUGUCUGCAGAGGGCAAUGUGGAUUACCUUUUGUUUGUGUUUUGUAACAGUUGAGAUCUCAUGCUUCUGUAACCUGCUUUUUCACACACUUGUAUUAUGAACACUUUGCACUUUAAAAAAUAUUUUCCCAAUGAUUGCUUUCCCUCCUUGUUAUUUUUCAAAACGUUCCAUUUAUAAAGGUUCUGUUUCUAAAGCUGGGGCCUAACCCAGUGACAGGUCUUUUCAGCCUUUGCUGAUGGUCUUGAAAGGUUCUGAGGUAUAAAAUGUUUAUGCUCAUUUUGUUUCUGCCUUCCACCCACCCGCUCCGACAAACCUUUAAUUCUGGACUGCUGCUUUUGAAGCUUGUGGAUUCACAGUGCCCAAAACCACAGGUAACUUUGCUUUGGAAAGGCCUGACAAAAAUAGGCUGCUUUUAAUGCAAAUGGCCAAUUUUCUCCUGUUGGUGGGCAGUUCAUGUAAGAAUAGUGUUUUAUUUAUUGUAUUGUAAAAAUAGCCUCCUUGAGAAGAGUGGCCUGCUCCAGGUAACUCUCACAGAUUGGGUUUUCUUCCACCCAGAAAUGAUUACUUUGAUCUAGAAUAGUGUAUUGCUUUCUCAGAGUAUUUUUUUCACUAUGAAAUGGAAAUGUGUAUUUAAUGUUUCUUAAAGCCCUCUAAUGGCAAGUAUUACCAGAACUUUCCUUCAUGGUUGAUUAUCUAAAAUAUUUUUCUUCAGUUAAAGGCAGACAUGUAUUUGCCCCAAAUUUAGACCAAAUUAAAAAUGGGUCUUUAUUUAAAUAUUCGCUUCACCCGUUCUUUAUUUCCUUUGUCACAAAAAUAUCCUUGAAUCUGAGCAUUUAACAACUCUGACCAUUUUUCGUUGUCUAGUUGAAAGUGUUAAGAAUCUGAGGAGAAAUGUAUUUAUCUUUUAAAAUGUAUUUGUCUUAUGAACAAGGGUUUGCCUAAGUUUUGGAGACCUGUGGAAACAAACGCCUUACCCUUUAUUAGUCGUCUCUGCCUAACUGAUCCACAUCUGCUCCUCCGGCAUACACGGUGCGCAUUUUAAAUAUUAUAAACUACGUUGUAAAGUCCUUUCUUUUAUAAAGCUUAUCUGGGCCAGGCCUGGAACACGGUCAUGGACUGUUCUCCUGUGUGGUUCCUGGGCCAGUGCGUUGCUUUUAAAGACUGGAGCUGAAAAGCAGAACGUGUACUUUUGGCAUGGGGAUUCCUUAUAGAGAGUAUGCAAAUUUCCCCAAGGAAAACGGAAUUUGCAUGAAAAAGCUCUCACUAUAAUUAUAACAAUUUCCUCCUCCUUUUUCCUUUUUUUUUUUUUUAAAUUCAGCUUCUCAACGUGCUAAGAUUUUUCCCUUUCCUCCAAGACAGGCCUGCUGAAGGAAUUGACUUCUGAAAGAUCUUAUGCCAGCUCUCUAAAGUAUCUAAAAGGAGACAUCAUAAGGUUUGAAAUGCAACAGUGUGGGGGCCAGGGAGUGGUGGUCCUGUGUGCCUUGCCCAUCCUUUAUGUGAGAUGCGAGAUGCUAUCCAACGGCUUAUGCUUAGUAGAAAAAUUAUGCUUAGUAGAAAAAUUCAUGGACUCAUCAAAGGGAAAAAAAUGUUUGGUAAUCAAGUUUUCCUUUUUGCUGAGGGCUGUGCUUACAUAGUUUAAAUUGUAAUAAAAAUUAAAAUGCCUGAAAUGUUUCAGAGUCGGAAUCCUCUGCUGCUUUAGCUCAUGGGCACCUCCCAGAAUGCUUCCUCAGAUAGCAACAGAAAACACUGGCAGCCCCCCAAGAGAACAUUCUUUGAGGACCUCACUGGCAAUUGGGAAAGGGAACUUCGCGUUCUCAUUGUGCAGAGUGCAGGCAGGAUGUGUGGUCUCCAUCCUGAGGUUGCUUGUUGUCUUCCCUGUACAGUGUAUAAUUUUAUUAUUUUUUUCAGAUGUUAUAGGUGAGGCGUCCAAAUAAACAGCUUUAUGGUCAGGAAAUACAGGGAAAUUGGUGUAUUGGGGAAAAUCACGUAUUACUAGAGAUACUUUAAUUAUCUUUGUGGAAUAUUAGUUUUCUAGUAGCCAAAAUUGUUAAAAUACCAAAUUUUGUUUGUUUUUGAAGAACCCAAGUUGCAAAAUUGCUAAAUAAUCUAAGACACCAAAUUUUUAAAACAAUACCCAAUGUAAUUAAACUUCCAUUUGAUUCUGAACAAUUGUCAGUGUCCCUGGGUCAUUAUCAAUAUUGUAUUAAUGUGGAAUUCUGGUCGUUGGGCCUUCCUGUUAAUAGAAUGCCAAGCAGGUUGAAUCAGGCGGACAUACCUAGUAUUGUGUGGCACACAGCAGGGGAGAAUGGGGAAGACAUGAAUUGAGCUCACACUGUGACUUUUGCUCAAGAGUGAUGUUUGAUCUGGAAGGAUUUACUCCUGGUUGGAGGCACAAAUUUCUAAGGAGAUAAUUUGAGCUUAAUAAGGUGUUCAGAGGGGUACUGCAGAUGCUAGGAGCAGAGAAGAGAGAGGAGUGUAACUGAAUUGUUGAGUUUUGAGCUAAAUAGUGACCAAUUUGUGUAGCAUUUGAAAAAGUUAGAAAAUGAAAGCAACAGCACAGGUCGAGGGUUAGAGGUGAGGAUGAAUAUUUCCUGUGUCGGGGAGGGUAAUGAUAGUCUGAGCUCACUGCAUUGAGUCAGUGUUAAAUAUUAAAGUUGACACUUGUUCCAAGCUCUCGGGCUUCCACUGUCUCCUACUAUUCAGCAAGGAAAUGAGAUGACGCGAAUGGGAGAUUAACCAUGGGAGGAAGAAUACCAAGUUCUGUUGUGUGUCGAGCAGUGGCCAGUUGAGAUUUUCGCAGCCCUGGGAGGCGAGGGCCUCCUCUGGGGCUGGAUCUUUGCCUGAUGUCACCUGGAAUUCUCACAGCUUGUUUUAACUGCCCACUUCCCCAGUGAAAGGCAGAUUUCUGGAACUGUUUUGUGGCACCCGGGGAGAAUUAACAUAGUUUCCUAAGAUGCCUGAGUAAUGACCUUCCUUCCUGUCCAAGCAGGCUGCUGUAAAAGGAUAUGCUUCCUUCCGAUGGUCUUGACCAACCUCACAUUCAAGGGCCUGUGUGUUGUUAGCUGUGUUACCUGGAGAAAGUGAGCUGUGACACCAGCCUUUGGUUGCUAACGUUUGGCCAUGAAUCCACCCCAAUGACUGUGAACUUCACAUAGUAACUGGCCACACUCUCCUCUCCCUUCCUCUCACACUUGCUGAGGCAUGAGUUCUGCAAAUAGUAUCUUUUGUGGACCUUAUUUUGCUUGAACAAAGGACUUGACUUUGUAUUCUUCCCCUCUGGUUACUUCCUUAUUUUACGUGAGCCGUAUUGUAAGGCUUAGUUUCUAUACUGAGACGAUGAGUCUACAGACCAUUUAAAAAAUUCCGUAAAUGUUAUUUUAUCUACUUUUUGAAUCCUCAGGUAAUUGAAACCAAAACAGUGCUGAUGGUUCUCAAAGAAAUUGAAGUGCAAUUUUGAAAAUUUAGUGAUAUAAUCUCCAGUUGCCAUACAUGGAGCUGGAUCCCAAAGAAAGAAGAAAACAGUUCUACAAGCAGAGGGGACAACCGUCAUUCUCCAAGGGGCAGGAUCUGAAUCUUCGAGAGGCUAUGAGGGAGUCAGGCACAUCAUAGCCUUCUUGUGCUUAGGAGCACUAUACAGCACUUGAGCACAUUGCUUGGGGGCCCUUUCAGACAAAAAAAUUGCCAACAAAAAGCACAAAAUUGUGAAAAACAUGGCACUAAACAGACCAUGAAAAGGACACUUGUUUAGGAUGUGAGAGCUGAAACAAGAAGGCAGAGCAGAGCCCUGUUUGACCUCAGCUGGGAUCGUGUGCAUCAGUGGCUCAGCUUUUUUGCAUCUCUGCAUGUCUGCCAAAGUGUUGCUACCAUCGAUUUUGCAGUUACAAAUAAAUUUUGGUAAGUAGGUGAAUUUGCAGACAGUCAGGAUUGACUGUAUAUGCCAAUAUUUCUCUCUGGACCUGAGGUCUAGGUUGAUACCACCACUCUGUGUCUGACCUUCAUUUAGUUGUUUCUCUAUUCUGGGCCUCUGUUUUCUCAUUCAUAGAACAAGCAUGUUGGGGUAGAUUGGUGGCAAUAGUUUCUUUUUUUAUGUAAGAAGUAACUUUUAUUCAUGUAAAAGCCCAGGGUAUAAAGCAGUAGUCAGCUCCCUGCAUCUCUUGUCCUCCACCAAUUUUACCAAAAACGUAUGGAAAACCACUGGGCUAGAUCUCCGAGGCCAUUUUCCUCUGUCCCAUUAGGUUAUAAUUUAUUCAUUUGAGAAAUAUUUAUUGAGC